This 465-nucleotide ribosomal RNA is filed under the name Vreelandella stevensii. Its description in RNAcentral is "partial 16S ribosomal RNA". It matches the Rfam family "Bacterial small subunit ribosomal RNA", at positions 338 to 795 of the family's 1533-position model. The record is from RNAcentral. Lineage: Bacteria; Pseudomonadati; Pseudomonadota; Gammaproteobacteria; Oceanospirillales; Halomonadaceae.
CCUACGGGAGGCUGCAGUGGGGAAUAUUGGACAAUGGGCGAAAGCCUGAUCCAGCCAUGCCGCGUGUGUGAAGAAGGCCUUCGGGUUGUAAAGCACUUUCAGUGGGGAAGAAAGCCUUGGGGCUAAUACCCUCGAGGAAGGACAUCACCCACAGAAGAAGCACCGGCUAACUCCGUGCCAGCAGCCGCGGUAAUACGGAGGGUGCGAGCGUUAAUCGGAAUUACUGGGCGUAAAGCGCGCGUAGGCGGUCUGAUAAGCCGGUUGUGAAAGCCCCGGGCUCAACCUGGGAACGGCACCCGGAACUGUCAGGCUAGAGUACAGGAGAGGAAGGUAGAAUUCCCGGUGUAGCGGUGAGAUGCGUAGAGAUCGGGAGGAAUACCAGUGGCGAAGGCGGCCUUCUGGACUGACACUGACGCUGAGGUGCGAAAGCGUGGGUAGCAAACAGGAUUAGAUACCCUUGUAGUC